Molecule: long non-coding RNA, 649 nt
Organism: Tachyglossus aculeatus (Australian echidna)
Lineage: Eukaryota; Metazoa; Chordata; Mammalia; Monotremata; Tachyglossidae
Exons: 5
Source: RefSeq, a predicted model, not a curated record
UUCCAGUGUCAGAUUAUCCAUAGUCUCUCCUGAUUGAAUAACAAGGACCAUCAUCAAUGAAUUUUGAUACCAGAGUACACAUAAUCCAAUCCAGAGCUGGCCACAGAAAACUCUACCUCUGAACAUUGAGAAAAAUACCACUGGUGACACUCCUAAGAUUUACAAGAAUCGAUGCUUGUAAAUUUUUCCUUUAAGAAAUGGUCCCAGAAUGGAGAAGUACAUGCCAUUUUCCAGGCCCCUGGUAACCCAAGAGGAAAUCCAAACAACUGAGCUGUAAAUACUGGUGCCUGCUUCUUGAUAAACACGCCUCUAUCCUGUGAUUACCUCAAAGUUUCCCAAGGCAAAGAAAACUGUUGUCAAAUUCGGACUUGUCUCUUUCCUAAAGUUGAUGGUGAUGGUUUCCAAAUUCCUUGAAGUGCUUCACAUUACAUAAGAAACGGAAAAAUUACUCAACGAUUAGGCAUUAAAAGCAUCGCUUGCUAAAACGUUCUCCUUGGACUACGCUUACCUGAUCUGUGGAUCGGCCCACAUGGGGCCAGCCAAAACAGAGCCUGCGGUGUAUUCCACAGGAUUAUACUCCUGCCAUUCCACAAGCCAGCCCACUUUUUCGUUGGGGACCCGACUACGCUCCACUUUUGACCCAGGGUAA